Molecule: ribosomal RNA, 298 nt
Filed under: Klebsiella pneumoniae
Lineage: Bacteria; Pseudomonadati; Pseudomonadota; Gammaproteobacteria; Enterobacterales; Enterobacteriaceae
Description: partial 16S ribosomal RNA
Rfam family: Bacterial small subunit ribosomal RNA
Source: RNAcentral
AAUGCGUAGAGAUCUGGAGGAAUACCGGUGGCGAAGGCGGCCCCCUUGACAAAGACUGACGCUCAGGUGCGAAAGCGUGGGGAUCAAACAGGAUUAGAUACCCUGGUAGUCCACGCCGUAAACGAUGUCGAUUUGGAGGUUGUGCCCUUGAGGCGUGGCUUCCGGAGCUAACGCGUUAAAUCGACCGCCUGGGGAGUACGGCCGCAAGGUUAAAGCUCAAAUGAAUUGACGGGGGCCCGCACAAGCGGUGGAGCAUGUGGUUUAAUUCGAUGCAACGCGAAGAACCUUACCUGGUCUU